GAUGAACGCUGGCGGCGUGCCUAAUACAUGCAAGUCGAGCGAACAGACGAGGAGCUUGCUCCUCUGACGUUAGCGGCGGACGGGUGAGUAACACGUGGAUAACCUACCUAUAAGACUGGGAUAACUUCGGGAAACCGGAGCUAAUACCGGAUAAUAUAUUGAACCGCAUGGUUCAAUAGUGAAAGACGGUUUUGCUGUCACUUAUAGAUGGAUCCGCGCCGCAUUAGCUAGUUGGUAAGGUAACGGCUUACCAAGGCAACGAUGCGUAGCCGACCUGAGAGGGUGAUCGGCCACACUGGAACUGAGACACGGUCCAGACUCCUAAGGGAGGCAGCAGUAGGGAAUCUUCCGCAAUGGGAGAAAGCCUGACGGAGCAACGCCGCGUGAGUGAUGAAGGUCUUCGGAUCGUAAAACUCUGUUAUUAGGGAAGAACAAAUGUGUAAGUAACUAUGCACGUAUUGACGGUACCUAAUCAGAAAGCAACGGCUAACUACGUG
This 497-nucleotide ribosomal RNA is filed under the name uncultured bacterium. Its description in RNAcentral is "partial 16S ribosomal RNA". It matches the Rfam family "Bacterial small subunit ribosomal RNA", at positions 28 to 507 of the family's 1533-position model. The record is from RNAcentral.